UACGGAGGAUGCAAGCGUUAUCCGGAAUGAUUGGGCGUAAAGCGUCCGCAGGUGGCAAUGUAAGUCUGCUGUUAAAGAGUCUAGCUCAACUAGAUAAAAGCAGUGGAAACUACAUAGCUAGAGUACGUUCGGGGCAGAGGGAAUUCCUGGUGUAGCGGUGAAAUGCGUAGAGAUCAGGAAGAACACCGGUGGCGAAAGCGCUCUGCUGGACCUUAACUGACACUGAGGGACGAAAGCUAGGGGAGCGAAUGGG
RNAcentral lists this ribosomal RNA (253 nucleotides) under uncultured bacterium. RNAcentral describes it as "partial 16S ribosomal RNA". It matches the Rfam family "Bacterial small subunit ribosomal RNA", at positions 524 to 776 of the family's 1533-position model. The record is from RNAcentral.